RNAcentral lists this transfer RNA (61 nucleotides) under Rhinebothrium reydai. RNAcentral describes it as "tRNA-Gln". Lineage: Eukaryota; Metazoa; Platyhelminthes; Cestoda; Rhinebothriidea; Rhinebothriidae. The record is from RNAcentral.
UUUAAUGUGGUGUUAAGCAUUUUACAUUUUGGUUGUAGGGGAGGCUAGUUGCCCAUUAUUU